AAUAGAGGAACUCAGUCUAAGAACGCCACGUCUUGUGGCAUUAUCAAAAUGACCGACACCGUGUCGG
RNAcentral lists this small RNA (67 nucleotides) under Lysinibacillus xylanilyticus. RNAcentral's name for it is "Bacillaceae-1 RNA". It matches the Rfam family "Bacillaceae-1 RNA". Lineage: Bacteria; Bacillati; Bacillota; Bacilli; Caryophanales; Bacillaceae. The record is from RNAcentral.